CCCUUAGAUGUUCUGGGCGGCCCGCGCACUACAAUGGCGUGUGCAGCGAGUGCCGAAGUAGCGUUUUCCGAGGUAUUCUUGCAAUGCUCGUUUUGAUGGGGAUAGACCCUUGCAACUGUUGGUUUUGAACGAGGAAUUCCUUGUAAGCAUGGUUUAUCAUCCGACGCUGAAUGCGUCCCUGCCCUUUGUACACACCGCCCGUCGCUCCUACCGAUUGAGUGCUCCGGUGAACAAUUUGGACUGCUUUGAUUCGAUUAGAAUUUGAAGCGGAAAGUUUAGUGAACCUUAUCACUUAGAGGAAGGAGAAGUCGUAACA
This 316-nucleotide ribosomal RNA is filed under the name uncultured eukaryote. RNAcentral's name for it is "partial 18S ribosomal RNA". It matches the Rfam family "Eukaryotic small subunit ribosomal RNA", at positions 1470 to 1796 of the family's 1831-position model. The record is from RNAcentral.